This is a long non-coding RNA of Capra hircus (goat), 762 nucleotides long. The record is from Ensembl. Lineage: Eukaryota; Metazoa; Chordata; Mammalia; Artiodactyla; Bovidae.
CCAGCACUUCGAAGAUGGUGGGCAUGCUCAGUCCUGCCACCCCAAGAGGGACGUGGGACGUCAAAAUUGCCCUUUUCGAGCGUGCGUGAAAAGCUGCCGCUCGCUGGGCACAAGUUGUCUUCGAGGAAGUUUCCACUCCUGGUUGUCUGUGGUAGAACUUGUGCAAAUAGAAAACAAAGCACCAAGGAAGAGUGAGUGUGCGUGACGGAACAUACACAAGGUCAGAAGAAACUUCGAGAACCAUCAGAGCUGCAGCCCAUGAGUUCACCUGAGAAGGGCUGAGCCUUCCUGCAAAUCAGCUGAGGAAUGAGAUGCCACUGGAUUUAGAUGAGGAGCUCCUUGGAGACAGAGACUCACUCCCUGCUUGUCCAGGAUCAGUUUAUCAACACAAAAUUAAUUUUCUCUACACCUGUUCAUUUCAUGGGGAGACUGAGAAUAAGAAGAUAAUCUCUGUAGACUUCCAAAGGGAACUGUGCCUUCAUCAUUCCACAUGACCCUGAUGGCUGUGCCCUCCUCAGCCAGUGAGAGAACUAGUGACUCCUGGAAAUAAACUUGGCAAGUAAAUGCUGAGAAUACAAGGGUGAACAUCUCUGUUUAUUAAUUGACAAAUGGUGCUGAGGCAGGAUGAAGCACGCUGCAUACGUCAUUGCCAUUUCUUACAUCAGACUCACAGGUGGGUAUUAAUCAUAUCAUCAACCUACAGCAAAUCAAUAAACAGGACUGUCAAGAUUGUAUCAUGUCAUUGUUAGUGGCUCAUGAGUA